Molecule: long non-coding RNA, 274 nt
Filed under: Jatropha curcas
Lineage: Eukaryota; Viridiplantae; Streptophyta; Magnoliopsida; Malpighiales; Euphorbiaceae
Description: long non-coding RNA (JCUR_LNC002340)
Source: RNAcentral
UCACUCGACUCCCAAUUCUACGAGAACGAGUCACAAUAUCAAAACCCCUUCCAAGAAAGCCAGUUCUCCGUGUUGACUAAGGACUACUCGUUAAACAGAUUCCUAUAUAUAUCUCUCUCCAAAUUGCUGGAUUCAUAAGUCUCAAACGCCACCAAAAGGAACAAUUUCAGCACAUACCCACAUACUGAAAACUUGUUCUCUCUGCAAAAUUGAUAUAGAAAUCAUCUUCUUUAAUCACAUUUCCUGUUAACAAUGGACAAAUCUUUAAAGACUA